This 391-nucleotide long non-coding RNA is filed under the name Populus tremula. RNAcentral describes it as "long non-coding RNA (PTRE_LNC001491)". The record is from RNAcentral. Lineage: Eukaryota; Viridiplantae; Streptophyta; Magnoliopsida; Malpighiales; Salicaceae.
GAGGUGGUGGAGGAGGAGGAGGUCCAGCUCCAAUUUUGUUAUUCUCCUUCAAAGGUGGCAUUGGAGGAGGUGGUGGUGGAGGAUGAGGUCCAGCUGCAUUGGUGUUAUUCUCCUUUAAAGGUGGCGUUGGAGGAGGUGGUGGUGGUGGUGGAGGAGGAGGUCUAGCUGCAAUGGUGCUAUUCUUAUUUAAAGGUGGUGGUGGUGGAGGAGGUCCAGCUCCAAUGGUGUUACUCUCCUUCACGGGUGGCGUUGAAGGAGGUGGAGAAGGUCCGGCUCUAGUGGUGUGAAUCUCCUUCAUAGGUGGCGUUGGAGGAGGAGGUGGGGUUGGACAUUCAGUUUUGAUAGUGGAAUUAUUUUCCUUAAAAGGUGGAUGCAGUGGUGUUGUUGGAGC